UACGGAGGGGGCGAGCGUUAUUCGGAAUUAUUGGGCGUAAAGGGCGCGUAGGCGGCCUGGUAAGUCAAAGGUGAAAUCCCUCGGCUCAACUGAGGAACUGCCUUUGAAACUGUCAGGCUCGAGUCCGGGAGGGGGUGGCGGAAUUCCCAGUGUAGCGGUGAAAUGCGUAGAUAUUGGGAGGAACACCAGUGGCGAAGGCGGCCACCUGGACCGGAUCUGACGCUGAUGCGCGAAAGCGUGGGUAGCAAACAGG
RNAcentral lists this ribosomal RNA (253 nucleotides) under uncultured bacterium. RNAcentral's name for it is "partial 16S ribosomal RNA". It matches the Rfam family "Bacterial small subunit ribosomal RNA", at positions 524 to 776 of the family's 1533-position model. The record is from RNAcentral.